UGAGGAAUAUUGGUCAAUGGGCGAGAGCCUGAACCAGCCAAAUCGCGUGAAGGAAGACUGCCUUAUGGGUUGUAAACUUCUUUUAUACAGGAAUAAAAAAGGGGACGUGUCCCUUAUUGCAUGUACUGUAUGAAUAAGCAUCGGCUAACUCCGUGCCAGCAGCCGCGGUAAUACGGAGGAUGCGAGCGUUAUCCGGAUUUAUUGGGUUUAAAGGGUGCGCAGGCGGGCUUUUAAGUCAGCGUUGAAAUCUCGGGGCUUAACUCCGAAACUGCCGUUGAAACUGGGAGUCUUGAGUAUGGAUGAAGUAGGCGGAAUUCGUUGUGUAGCGGUGACAUGCUUAGAUAUAACGAGGAACUCCGAUUGCGUAGGCAGCUUACUAAGCCAUAACUGACGCUCAAGCACGAAAGCGUGGGAUCAAACAGGAUUAGAUACCCCUGGUAGUCCACGCCGUAAACGAUGAUUACUAGUUGUAUGCGAUAUACCGUAUGUGACUAAGCGAAAGCGAUAAGUAAUCCACCUGGGGAGUACGCCGGCAACGGUGAAACUCAAAUGAAUUGACGGGGUCAUAGCUGUUUCCUG
This 579-nucleotide ribosomal RNA is filed under the name uncultured bacterium. Its description in RNAcentral is "partial 16S ribosomal RNA". It matches the Rfam family "Bacterial small subunit ribosomal RNA", at positions 355 to 1376 of the family's 1533-position model. The record is from RNAcentral.